Molecule: ribosomal RNA, 468 nt
Filed under: uncultured bacterium
Lineage: Bacteria
Description: partial 16S ribosomal RNA
Rfam family: Bacterial small subunit ribosomal RNA
Source: RNAcentral
GACGAACGCUGGCGGCGUGCUUAAUACAUGCAAGUCGAACGGAAAGGCCCUGCUUUUGUUCGGUGCUCGAGUGGCGAACGGGUGAGUAACACGUGAGUAACCUGCCCUUGACUUUGGGAUAACUUCAGGAAACUGGGGCUAAUACCGGAUAGGAGCUCCUGCUGCAUGGUGUGGGUUGGAAAGUUUCGGCGGUUGGGGAUCGACUCGCGGCUUAUCAGCUUGUUGGUGGGGUAGUGGCUUACCAAGGCUUUGACGGGUAGCCGGCCUGGGAGGGUGACCGGCCACAUGGGGCCUGAGGUAGGGCCCAGACGGCAACGUGAGGCAGCGGUGGGGAAUAUGGCGCACUAGGCCGAAGGCUGAGGCAACGUCGCCGGGUGCGGAAUGACUGCUUUCGGGGGAUAAACAGCUUUCGCCUGUAACGAAGCGUGAGUGACGGUAACGGGUAAAGAAGCAACGGCUAACUACGUG